AAACAGAAAGCAGCAAGCAUGCACCUGAGCGCAGGUUUGACCUGGCACUGACACGCACACAUCACCGCCUCUACCCACCACAUCACUCAUCCAUACACUCCCUCACCACUGCGCCCAAACAGACGGAGGGAGGAGGACACAAAAUCACAAGAAGCAAUCCUUUGUAUUGUGACUGUCGACAGCACGACCUUUCCUGCGACCCGCACGGAUGUCGUCAGCGCCGCGCAAGCUCACCACAGCUAUGCGCGAGGAUGACGACGGGGGCAAUCGUGGGAACAGAACCUCCAUGCAAGCCUGGAGCACCUCUAGCGUCAAGCACCAAAGCCUCGGCUCUGAGCUCUUGGAUGACGAGGAGUUCAAGACGAAGACAUUCCAGGACCUCGGCCUGUGCCAGGAGCUUUGCACGGCGUGCGCCGAUGCUGGCUGGCAGCACCCGACUCGCAUUCAGGCCUCCGCUAUCACCGUCUUUGCCGAGGGCCGCGACCUCAUUGGUGUGGCGCAGACUGGUAGCGGCAAAACCGGCGCCUAUGCGCUGCCCCUGGUGAACUGGCUGCUGGCCCAGCGCAAGACGCCGUACCUCUCUGUCCUCGUCAUGGUGCCCACGCGCGAGCUGGCGCAGCAGGUGACGGCCCAGUUUGUACUGCUAGGCCGCAGCGUCGGACUGCGUGUGGCGACGCUGGUGGGUGGCGCGGACAUGGUCGAGCAGGCCUGUGAGCUGAGCAAGAGGCCGCAUGUCGUCGUCGGAACCCCUGGCCGUGUAAAAGACCACCUCAGCAACACGAAGGGCUUCAAGCUCGUCAAGCUGCACGCCUUGGUGCUGGAUGAGGCGGACAAGAUGCUCGAUAUGGACUACGAGAAAGAGAUUGACGCCAUUCUGGAGCAGCUGCCGCAGAACCGCCGCACCAUGCUUUUUUCUGCUACGCUGAGCACCAAGAUUGACCGUCUCCAGAAGGCAUCGCUGCGGGACCCGGUGCUGCUGCAGGUGCACCGCAAGAACACCACCGUGGACACACUCAAGCAGUACUACAUCUUUGCCCCGUUUGCGCAGAUGCUCUCCUACCUGCACCUCUUCCUAACGAAGGAGACGGGCAACCACAUCCUCAUUUUCUGUCGAAGCGCGGCUUUGGUGCACAAGAUCACGCUGACGCUCCGCAUCUUGGGCCACCGCGCGUUGCCUCUGAUGGGUCGCAUGGACCAAAGCAACCGCAACAUCGCGCUCACCAAGUUCAAGGAAGGAAAGGUGAGGAUGCUCAUUUGCACCGAUGUCGCGCAGCGUGGUCUGGACAUACCGCACACGGACGUCGUCGUGAAUUUCUCGCUGCCUGACCACGUCGAGGACUAUAUCCACCGCGUGGGCCGCACAGCUCGCGCUGGGGCUGAGGGCAAGGCCGUGAAUCUCAUUAGUCAGUACGACAUUGUACUGCUGCACAAGAUCGAGCAGCAAACAGGCGUCAAGUGCGUCGAGUACCCCUUCCUUCCGGAGAGCGAGGUGCAGCUGGUGCUCCAGCGUGUUGAGGAUGCAGAGCAGGAGGCCAUCCGCGAAAUCCGCGAGGAUGCCGAGGAGAGGAGCUUGGAGAAGGAGUCGCGGCAGCUGACGACGGCGCGGAAAGGCAAGCGAGACCGCGGCGACGCCGACAUGGGCUACGACGAUGCCAAACACGGUACGAGCGACUUCGCAACGCUGCGCAUGCGCCGCGAACACGAGUCUAUCUUCGAGAUGACCAAAAAGGAACAGCACAAGUCUCUGUGGGCGAAGCGGCGGGAGGCAAAGCAGCAAGCGAAAUCGCGAUAGCCGCCACCAAGGAAGUGAGCCGAUCGAGGGCGUUGCACGUGUCUGUGUCGUCCGCGCCUGGCAGCGCACGGAAAAAAGUCUCGCUUCUCCUCGCUGGCCGCGCUGCGCUCUUCUUUUCGCUCAUCAGCGCGAUCUCUCAUCGCUGGCACGUGCCGAAAUAGAACGAGGGCGAGUGCGCGUUGCGUGCCGCCUGCCUUUCUGCUCCCAAUCUCGCUGAAACGACCGCCUCCCCGGCUGCUGCUGCUGCUGCUGCCACCAUGGGAGCUUUUCUUUUCUUGCUUCUCUCUCGCUGCCAGCACGAUAGCAUUGGAUAAGAGAAAGAGAGAGAAAGGGAGGCGUGACGUCGGCGUGUCGUAGUCCGGUGCGUGCAUGGGCUGCUGCGACUGGUGAGGGAGGAGACGGCGACUGUGCGUACCAGAUGCCUAAAACGAGUGAAACCAAAGUGCACAUCGCUUUUGUCUUGACUCUUCUCUUAAAGCUCUGCCGUGCCGCUGUUGUGGUGGCUCAGUCGACGCGUCAUCGUACCAGAGCGGUUGGGAGCAGCCAAGACGGGCAGAGCAUGCGGGGGAGCAACGCCAAAAGCAAAGCAGAUGGACGAGUACCACAGGCAAGCC
This 2406-nucleotide unclassified non-coding RNA is filed under the name Leishmania donovani. RNAcentral describes it as "gene:LdHU3.36.2520(CDS-product:DEAD_box_RNA_helic ase_putative)". Lineage: Eukaryota; Euglenozoa; Kinetoplastea; Trypanosomatida; Trypanosomatidae. The record is from RNAcentral.